GCUACCACUUACAGAUGGACCCGCGGCGCAUUAGCUAGUUGGUGAGGUAACGGCUCACCAAGGCGACGAUGCGUAGCCGACCUGAGAGGGUGAUCGGCCACACUGGGACUGAGACACGGCCCAGACUCCUACGGGAGGCAGCAGUAGGGAAUCUUCCGCAAUGGACGAAAGUCUGACGGAGCAACGCCGCGUGAGUGAUGAAGGUUUUCGGAUCGUAAAGCUCUGUUGUUAGGGAAGAACAAGUGCCGUUCAAAUAGGGCGGCACCUUGACGGUACCUAACCAGAAAGCCACGGCUAACUACGUGCCAGCAGCCGCGGUAAUACGUAGGUGGCAAGCGUUGUCCGGAAUUAUUGGGCGUAAAGGGCUCGCAGGCGGUUUCUUAAGUCUGAUGUGAAAGCCCCCGGCUCAACCGGGGAGGGUCAUUGGAAACUGGGGAACUUGAGUGCAGAAGAGGAGAGUGGAAUUCCACGUGUAGCGGUGAAAUGCGUAGAGAUGUGGAGGAACACCAGUGGCGAAGGCGACUCUCUGGUCUGUAACUGACGCUGAGGAGCGAAAGCGUGGGGAGCGAACAGGAUUAGAUACCCUGGUAGUCCACGCCGUAAACGAUGAGUGCUAAGUGUUAGGGGGUUUCCGCCCCUUAGUGCUGCAGCUAACGCAUUAAGCACUCCGCCUGGGGAGUACGGUCGCAAGACUGAAACUCAAAGGAAUUGACGGGGGCCCGCACAAGC
Molecule: ribosomal RNA, 729 nt
Filed under: Bacillus amyloliquefaciens
Lineage: Bacteria; Bacillati; Bacillota; Bacilli; Caryophanales; Bacillaceae
Description: bacterial SSU rRNA
Rfam family: Bacterial small subunit ribosomal RNA
Source: RNAcentral